RNAcentral lists this ribosomal RNA (484 nucleotides) under uncultured bacterium. RNAcentral describes it as "partial 16S ribosomal RNA". It matches the Rfam family "Bacterial small subunit ribosomal RNA", at positions 30 to 507 of the family's 1533-position model. The record is from RNAcentral.
AUUGAACGCUGGCGGCAGGCCUAACACAUGCAAGUCGAGCGGUUGAAGGGAGCUUGCUCCUGGAUUCAGCGGCGGACGGGUGCGUAAUGCCUAGGAAUCUGCCUGGUAGUGGGGGAUACCGUCCGGAAACGGGCGCUAAUACCGCAUACGUCCUGAGGGCGAAAGUGUGGGAUCUUCGGACCUCACGCUAUCAGAUGAGCCUAGGUCGGAUUAGCGAGUUGGUGGGGUAAAGGCCUACCAAGGCGACGAUCCGGAACUGGUCUGAGAGGAUGAUCAGUCACACUGGAACUGAGACACGGUCCAGACUACUACGGGAGGCAGCAGUGGGGAAUAUUGGACAAUGGGCGAAAGCCUGAUCCAGCCAUGCCGCGUGUGUGAAGAAGGUCUUCGGAUUGUAAAGCACUUUAAGUUGGGAGGAAGGGCAGUAAGUUAAUACCUUGCUGUUUUGACGUUACCAACAGAAUAAGCACCGGCUAACUUCGUG